CCUACGGGAGGCAGCAGUGGGGAAUAUUGCACAAUGGGGGAAACCCUGAUGCAGCGACGCCGCGUGAGUGAAGACGUAUUUCGGUAUGUAAAGUUCUGUCAGCAGGGAAGAAAAUGACGAUACCUGACUAAGAAGCCCCGGCUAACUACGUGCCAGCAGCCGCGGUAAUACGUAGGGGGCAAGCGUUAUCCGGAUUUACUGGGUGUAAAGGGAGCGUAGACGGCAGGGCAAGUCUGGAGUGAAAGGCGGGGGCUCAACACCGGGACUGCUUUGGAAACUGCCAGGCUGGAGUGCAGGAGAGGUAAGUGGAAUUCCUAGUGUAGCGGUGAAAUGCGUAGAUAUUAGGAGGGACACCAGUGGCGAAGGCGGCUUACUGGACUGUAACUGACGUUGAGGCUCGAAAGCGUGGGGAGCAAACAGGAUUAGAUACCCUGGUAGUC
This 440-nucleotide ribosomal RNA is filed under the name uncultured bacterium. Its description in RNAcentral is "partial 16S ribosomal RNA". It matches the Rfam family "Bacterial small subunit ribosomal RNA", at positions 338 to 795 of the family's 1533-position model. The record is from RNAcentral.